This 89-nucleotide transfer RNA is filed under the name Chloroflexota bacterium. RNAcentral describes it as "Chloroflexi bacterium (permafrost metagenome) tRNA-Leu". It matches the Rfam family "tRNA". From Rfam's summary of the family: Transfer RNA (tRNA) molecules are approximately 80 nucleotides in length. The record is from RNAcentral. Lineage: Bacteria; Bacillati; Chloroflexota. RNAcentral also lists the same sequence under 3 other names.
GCCGGAGUGGCGGAAUUGGCAGACGCGCUGGACUCAAAAUCCAGUGAAUCGCGAGGUUCGUGUCGGUUCGACCCCGACCUUCGGCACCA